CAAAUGCUCAUAUACAUACAUGUUUAUAUUUAAUUAAUGACCUUAGCCCAGGGGUUCCAGUACAAGUUGUGUUCUUCACGUUUUCUUUUAUGCAAUUUUGAAGACCUUUUAUAUUAGAUUUUAUAUCUUGCAUCUUACAUCUGUAAAUAAAGUACUUCGUCAGUAAGAUAACUUUAUUUUAAUAAAAUUCAGUUUAUAAUUUUCAUAGAGGCCAAAAAUGACAAUUUUCAAAUUAAGUGGAAUUUCGAUAAGAACCCUAUCGAAAAUCCAUGAAUUUAGAUUGUGCCAAAUGUAGGCUACAAUAUGACAACCCCAAAAUAAAUGUUCUAUGUUUUCAGGC
Molecule: long non-coding RNA, 340 nt
Filed under: Mytilus galloprovincialis (Mediterranean mussel)
Lineage: Eukaryota; Metazoa; Mollusca; Bivalvia; Mytilida; Mytilidae
Source: RNAcentral